Raphanus sativus (radish) is the source of this 164-nucleotide small nucleolar RNA. RefSeq annotates it as small nucleolar RNA snoR143. The transcript has a single exon. The record is from RefSeq and is a predicted model, not a curated record. NCBI's taxonomy places the organism in Eukaryota, Viridiplantae, Streptophyta, Magnoliopsida, Brassicales, Brassicaceae.
ACGUAUAGAGAAACCAACAGAACAUAUUAACCUAAAAAAAUAUACAACUCAUCAUGCGUAAAGGAAUUGUUGUUAAUUCAGUAAGCGGCCAACCGUUGGGAUAGAUCCACAGGUGUUAUGCGGUUUCUCUCUCCGCUCUCAGCUACUAAAUAUAUCCCACAAUU